CCCAGACUCCUACGGGAGGCAGCAGUGGGGAAUAUUGCGCAAUGGGGGAAACCCUGAUGCAGCGACGCCGCGUGAGCGAUGAAGUAUUUCGGUAUGUAAAGCUCUAUCAGCAGGGAAGAAGAUGACGGUACCUGACUAAGAAGCCCCGGCUAACUACGUGCCAGCAGCCGCGGUAAUACGUAGGGGGCAAGCGUUAUCCGGAUUUACUGGGUGUAAAGGGAGCGUAGGCGGCGACGCAAGUCAGAAGUGAAAGCCCGGGGCUCAACUCCGGGACUGCUUUUGAAACUGCGUUGCUAGAUUGCGGGAGAGGCAAGUGGAAUUCCUAGUGUAGCGGUGAAAUGCGUAGAUAUUAGGAGGAACACCAGUGGCGAAGGCGGCUUGCUGGACCGUGAAUGACGCUGAGGCUCGAAAGCGUGGGGAGCAAACAGGAUUAGAUACCCGUGUA
Molecule: ribosomal RNA, 445 nt
Filed under: uncultured bacterium
Lineage: Bacteria
Description: bacterial SSU rRNA
Rfam family: Bacterial small subunit ribosomal RNA
Source: RNAcentral